Molecule: ribosomal RNA, 460 nt
Filed under: uncultured bacterium
Lineage: Bacteria
Description: partial 16S ribosomal RNA
Rfam family: Bacterial small subunit ribosomal RNA
Source: RNAcentral
CCUACGGGUGGCAGCAGUGAGGAAUAUUGGUCAAUGGGCGCGAGCCUGAACCAGCCAAGUCGCGUGAGGGAGGACGGCCCUACGGGUUGUAAACUUCUUUUGCCGGGGAGCAACGGGCGCCACGUGUGGCGUCACUGAGAGUACCCGGAGAAAAAGCAUCGGCUACCUCCCUGCCAGAAGUCGCGGUAAUCCGGAGGAUGCGAGCGUUAUCGGGUGUUAUGGGGUUUAAGGGAUGCGAAGGCGGUUCGUUAAGUCAGUGGUAAAAUUGCGGGGCUCAACCCGUUACCGCCAUUGAAACUGGCGUUCUUGAGUGAAAGAGAGGAAUGCGGAAUGCGUGGUGUAGCGGUGAAAUGCAUAGAUAUCACGCAGAACCCCGAUUGCGAAGGCAGCAUGCCGGCUUCCGACUGACGCUGAAGCACGAAAGCGUGGGGAUCGAACAGGAUUAGAUACCCCUGUAGUC